AUUAAUGCAGAUAGUGGAUGCCUAGGCUUAUCUGGCCGAUGAAGGACGCUUACCCCGCGAAAGUGGUUGGGUAACUGGGAAAAAGUUAUGAUCCAACCGUGUCCGAAUUGAGAAAUCACGCUACGUGAGAGCGUAGUGGCCCUAAUUUUUAUUAAUUAGGUGGGUAACCUCCCGAACUGAAAUAUCUAAGUAGGGAGAGGAAAAGAAAACGUAAGAGAUUCCCCGAGUAAGCGACGAGCGAAAAGGGACUAGUCCAAACCCGGAAUUUAUUCCGGGGGUUGUAGGACCUCAACAUUCGACUUUAAAGGAUAGAAGAACACUUUGGAAUGAGUGAUCAAAGAGGGUGAUAAUCCCGUAAGCGAAAUCUAAUAAAGCGAUAGAGGAUUCCUGAGUAGGUUAGGAGACGGCAAACUCCUUUCUGAAUCUGGGGUGACCACACUCCAAGACUAAAUACCAGAUAAGACCGAUAGUGAACGAGUACCGUGAGGGAAAGGUGAAAAGAAGGGUUGAAGACCCCGUGAAAUAGAACCUGAAACCAUCUGCUAACAAUCAGACAAAGCACAUUUAUUGUGUAAUGUCGUGCCUAUUGAAGAAUGAGCCGGCGAGUAUUUGACAACUGCUUAGGUUAAGACAUUUCGUGUCGAAGCCGUAGUGAAAGCGAGCGUGAAUAGCGCGAAUCUGUAGUUGUUGAAUGACCCGAAACCGGGUGAGCUUACCAUGACCAGGAUGAAGCCCUGAUAAUAUCGGGGUGGAGGUCCGCACCGGUGUAUGCUGCAAGAUGCUCGGAUGAGUUGUGGUAAGAGGUAAUAUGCCAAUCGAACCCGGAGAUAGCUGGUUCUCCCUGAAAUAUAUUUAGGUAUAGGGUUACGUGAAGUUGCGAGGGGGUAGAGCACUGAUCUGGUGUCUUGAGAGAAAUCUUAAGCGCCUAGUCAAACUCCGAAUACCUCGUAAUGUUUCGUAGCACUCAGCACCUGGGAGCUAAGUUCCAGGAGCAAAAGGAAAACAAACCAGACCUACAGCUAAGGUCUCAAAUUACAUAUUUAGUGGCAAAAGAAGUGUUAUUCCUAACACACCUAGGAGGUCGGCUCAGAAGCAGCCAUCCUUUAAAGAAAGCGUAACAGCUCACUAGCCGAGGAAUAAUGCGCUGAAAAUCCAACGAGGCUCAAAUAUGUAACCGAAGCUUAGGGUUCUGCUGUAGAACAAAGAGAGUUAAAUAAUCGCAACAUUGGGAUUUUUGCAAAUCACGAUACAGCGCGAGAAUAAUUAAACUGAAUUUCUGAAUUCAGUUUAGAGUAAUUGUUCGGAUUGGACAAAUCCGAAUCAAUUAUUUUUAACUAGUUUUGUUCUACAGCGGAGCGGUAAGGGAGCGUUCUGUGUGCUUUGAAGCCAGCCCGUGAGGAGUUGGUGGAGCAAUCAGAAGUGAGAAUGCCGGCAUGAGUAGCGAAAUUGGGGUGAGAAUCCCCGACUCCGAAUGACCAAGGUUUCCGCACCCACGUUCGUCGUGUGCGGGUUAGGCGACCCUAAGGUGAGCCCUCGUUAAUGAGGGGUAGCCGAUGGAUUACUGGCUAAUAUUCCAGUCCUUGGUUAGAAUCAUUUGACUUGGGGAGGGACGGUGAUGGAUAACAUGUGAGCAGCGGUGAAUGUUGCUUCGAAUCAUCAAAGCAGUCUAGAUAGGAAAAUCCGUCUAGGCGUUUAUCUGAGAUGUCAUAGAACUCUGAUUCCUUCGGGAAGACGAGCUACAUGCGAUUUCAUUAUCCCGGAAAAGCUUCGCAAGGAGAUUCUAAUCAAAUCGUACCGAUAACCGACACAGGUAGUCAGGUCGAGUAGACCAAGGAGAGCGAGAGAAAAUAGUUUAAGGAACUCGGCAAAACAGCUGGGCGUAAUUUCGAGAGAUGCCCUCCUCUUUGUACUUCGGUACAAAGAGGCGCAGUGAAUGUCAUGAGGUUGACUGUUUACCAAAAACACAGGUCUGUGCAAACUCGUAAGAGGAAGUAUACGGGCUGAAGCCUGCCCAGUGCCGGAAGGUUAAUUGAGGGGGUUUUGUCUAAUUUAUUAGAUAAGGCCUCUGAUCGAAGCCCCGGUGAACGGCAGCAGUAACUAUAACUGUUCUAUGGUAGCGAAGUUCCUUGUCACUUAAUUGGUGACCCGCACGAAAGGUUUAACAAGCCUCAUACUGUCUUGAACUAUUACUCGGCGAAAUUGAAAUGGCUGUGAAGAUGCGGCCUACUGACAGCAGGACAAAAAGACCCCGUAGAGCUUUACUACAACUUGGCACUGACGGUGAAUAUAGGAUUGUUUAGAAUAGGCGGGAGGAAACUUCAUUUAUGACGUUUCCGACCAGUGAAAUACCGCCCGUUUUGUAUUUAUCAUCUAACUUAAUCACACUGCAAACGUGUGAAAGAACACUGUCUGGUGGGUAGUUUAACUGGGGAGGUUGCUUGCUAAAGAGUAACGCAAGCGCGCAAUGGUAUUCUUAGCCUGGAUAGAAAUCAGGCUGGACGUGCAAUAGCAUAAGAAUGCUUUACUGUGAGGCAUACAAGCCGAGCAGUUGCGAAAGCAGGUUAUAGUGAUCCUCGUGUGUUUUGUGGAAGACACCGGGCUUAUCGGAUAAAAGUUACCUCGGGGAUAACAGAGUCAUCGCGCCUAAGCGUCCCUAGCGUCGGCGCGGUUUGCUACCUCGAUGUCGGCUCAUCGCAUCCUGGGGCUGAAGAAGGUCCCAAGGGUUAGUCUGUUCGCCUAUUAAAGCGGUACGCGAGCUGGGUUCAGACCGUCGUGAGACAGGUCGGCCUCUAUCCGCUGUCAGCGUUAGAUAGUUGAGAGAAUUUGCUCCUAGUACGAGAGGACCGGAGUGAGGGAAUCCCUAGUGUUCCUGUUGUUGCUGUCAAGCGCAAUGCAGGGUAGCUACAUUCCUUAUGGAUAACCGCUGAAAGCAUCUAAGCGGGAAGCCAAUCUCAAGAUUAACUAUCUCCAUUAGACCCGUGGGAGACCACCACGUUGAUAGGUAGUCGGUGUAAGCCUGGUGACAGGCUGAGCCUAACUAUACUAAGUGUUGACUGAACAUA
This 3062-nucleotide ribosomal RNA is filed under the name marine metagenome. RNAcentral's name for it is "bacterial LSU rRNA". It matches the Rfam family "Bacterial large subunit ribosomal RNA". The record is from RNAcentral.